This is a long non-coding RNA of Bombyx mandarina (wild silkworm), 937 nucleotides long. The record is from RefSeq and is a predicted model, not a curated record. NCBI's taxonomy places the organism in Eukaryota, Metazoa, Arthropoda, Insecta, Lepidoptera, Bombycidae.
UUGAGUUUCGUUUAAUGUUUUAGCAGCCUGGAUAAUAAAGUUAUUAACAAUAUUCGCAUAUUUUGGUAGCGUAUUCUAAAUAUUUGCAACGAAAUUUAUUGUGUAAUGCUUCUACAACCGUCAAGAGCUGAGGAAAAUAUUUAAAAUGCGCUGCCCUGUUGCUAAGGUGUAUAUAUAGCACAUGGAUAGGUAUCAAUAUCCUGUGUAUGUCUGAGUAAAGCAGUUAUAUAUACCAAUUUGAAGGGUACAACAACCGUUACAUAAUACAAUGGACAUAUGAUGAUGGAUUAAGGGAAGCGUUAAUAGUUAUUGCGCAAUUACUGCUGGGAAGACAUUGUGGUGUUGUCCGGAUGGGUACCACCAGCCUGUUUAAUUCUGUAACAAAUUUAAUGCAUUCUGGUUUGAAGACUGGUACACACAGGUCGAUUUAGCUUGCAAUCUUGUCUCAAGGUGGAUCGAAGAAUUCACGUAGAUUUUAGAGCUCCUUCGGUAGUAGGUAAAUAAUAAUAAAACUGUGCUGUAAAAAUCAUCCACCCAUCUAAAAAAUUAAAGCUUAUUUCAAAUAAGUCUUGCAUUUAUACAAUUCUAAACAACAACAUUUCAUCUGACAUUCGGAGAUCUUCAGUUAAAAAGAAACUAAACUCUUUGCCUUUGUCGUUCUGAAAAAAUAUAUGAUACGAAAGAUUUUAUUUUAUUUGUUCCAAAAUCUAAAUUCAAGUGUAAAAAUUGGUUAAAGUUUCACAAAUAAUUUACUAGCCGGUAUUUGUAAGUACCGCUGAUUACAAUGAAGUAUGUAGUCUAAAUGACAGUUAUGUAACAAAAAAACAUUUUCGAAAUACAUUAAAAUUUUGAAUCUUCACGCCAAAUUAAGUAUGAUGGCUUUGCGCUUUUCUUUUAUCGAUGCUACCAUAUUCUCUGGUAUUAAAUGCCUCUAAAA